GGCUUCAUGGUCUAGUGGUAUGAUUCCUGCUUUGGGUACUCUCCAAAGUUGCAGGAGGCCCCGCGUUCGAAUCGCGGUGGAGCCC
This 85-nucleotide transfer RNA is filed under the name Delitschia confertaspora ATCC 74209. RNAcentral describes it as "tRNA-Pro". The record is from RNAcentral. Lineage: Eukaryota; Fungi; Ascomycota; Dothideomycetes; Pleosporales; Delitschiaceae.